UUUUUUUUUUUUUUGGUUCACGACGCGGACGAGAUAGCAAGAUGGUCGCUCGCUCACACAGGAGAUGCAUGGCACAUCUUUAGUUUCAAAUUCUCAAUUUGAUUAUCUACUUUUUUGUUUCAAAUUGAGUCGCCGAUCCGCGCUCAUCCUUGCCUCUCUACCAUCAGCUCGCCUUGGCUUCAGGCUAAUUUGCUCUUUUUUUCAUCUGCAAUCUCUGUUGGCUUAUCCUUUUGAGUUCAUUCUGUGACAGAUUCGGUCCUCACAGGGGGAAAGAAGACUUGUUCCAAUUCUGAACUAGAGUUCGGAUGCGUUCCUAGCAGCCAGUUUUACCCCAACCGCAUCGCCAUUUCCCCCAGCUUCAUAAACUGCCACUACUUAACUAGCAGAGGCAGCAACAGAGAUAAAUCCCGAAGCAUCUUCUUUUCUUCACAUAAAUUCCGAUGCGAAUCCGCUAUAAUAACAAGAAAAAUCACAAGGAAGUUGAAAAAAAAAAACAGAGUUCUACACUCAGCAGCUAAAAGAGCAGCGAUACACCCAUUCAGAGGAAGAAGAUUAGUCUCCGUCACCGCCGGCCCCCAAGAGUCAUUCAUAAGCCCCCUAAACACUGUUACAAAAAUUUGGCUUCUCCGGCAUCAUCUACAGCUCGUCGUGGUCGUCAUCGACGCCGCCCUCCUCGUCGGCACCACCACCCGGGGCGCCGCCAGACUUCUGGUACACCGCCGAGAUGAUGGGGUUGCACACGGCCUCCACCUCCUUGAGCUUCUCCUCGUAGUCCUCCUUCUCGGCCGACUGGUUGUCGUCCAGCCACUCGAGGGCCUCCUUGAGGGCCUCCUCAACCUUCUCCUUCUCCUCGCUCUCCAGCUUGUCCGCCAGCUUGUCCUUGUCGCCGAUCGUGUUCUUCAUGUUGUACACGUACGUCUCAAGCUGGUUCCGGGCGUCGAUCUUCUCCUUCACCUUCUUGUCCUCCUCGGCGAACUCCUCCGCCUCCCGGACCAUGCGGUCAAUCUCCUCCUGGCUCAGGCGGCCCUUCUCGUUCGUGAUUGUGAUCUUCUCUGACUUGCCAGUGCCCUUGUCCUCGGCCUUCACGUUUAGGAUACCAUUGGCGUCAACCUCAAAGGUCACCUCGAUCUGGGGAGUGCCCCUGCAGAAUUCACAUUUCAUCAUUGGUCAGGCAACACUGCAUUCAUUCAUUCACUAGUUCAACAAACACACUACUCCGGAUAGCAGCAACGCACCUUGGAGCUGGUGGAAUGCCAGAGAGGUCGAACUUGCCGAGAAGACGGCAGUCCUUGGUCAUGCUGCGUUCACCCUCGAAGACCUGCAUGGAUCACAGACAACACAAGUUAUGACACUUCUAAAAAAAGGUGGACCACAGCUGAUACUGGAGGUUCCAGCAGAGGAGAGAGCAGGAUGCUAAUUGUUACCUGGAUGGAGACGGUGGUCUGCUGGUCCUGGUAGGUGGUGAACACCUGCGACUUCUUGGUGGGGAUGACAGUGUUCCUGGGGAUCAACUUGGUCAUGACUCCACCAACAGUCUCAAUACCCAGGGUGAGGGGAGCCACAUCAAGGAGAAGGAUAUCUGCACCAAAGGCAAAACCACACUUGUGUAAGCAAUGAUCACUAAUGAACUGAAAAAUCUGCUAGCAGUCAGAAAAGGGAGCACAAAAAGAGAGACAAACCUUUGGUCUCAUCACCACCCUCGCCGCUCAAGAUGCUUCCCUGCACCGCAGCACCGUAGGCAACAGCCUCAUCAGGGUUUACACCCUUGCUGGGCUCCUUGCCGUCGAAGUAGUCCCUCAGGAGCUGCUGGACCUUGGGAAUCCUGGUGCUUCCACCAACAAGGACAAUCUCGUGGAUCUGGCUCUUCUCAAGGCCAGCAUCUUCCAUGGCCUUCUUGACAGGGCCCAUGGUCUUGCGGAACAGAUCAUUGUUCAGCUCCUCAAACCUGGCACGGGUCAACGGCUCCGAGAAAUCGGUCCCGUCGAAGAGGGACUCAAUCUCAACACGGACCUGGUGCUGGUUGCUGAGGGCUCUCUUGGCACGCUCAGCUUCCCUCCUCAACUUUCCAAGAGCACGGUUGUCCUUGCUGAUGUCCUUGCUGUACUUCUUCUUGAUCAACUUGAUGAAGUACUCCAUGAUCCUCUGGUCAAAGUCCUCACCUGAAGAGAUGGUACAACUCAGUAUCAAUCAUGCCAACAACAAUGCAAGCACACAGCAAAUGAGCUGACAAGUUGCUCAGAUUCAAGGUAAAUACAACAUGUAUUGAUGACGAAUGAUGAAUUUAUCUCAAAUCAGUGCAUGUAUCAUAAUACUAUUUCAAUGCAGGUAGUUUGCAUACAAUUAUCAUGAUGUCUGAAAUCAUAGCAUAAGCCUAUGAAUGUAUGGCAUUGUCAUGAUUUUAUGCUAUGUCAAUGUUAAAAUACAAUCAACUAAUAAGGUGACAGCAGUAAUCAGCAGCUUAGAUGCGUUGGUAGUCACUAGUCAGCUAGCUUAUUGACAAAAACAUUUCACUCACCUCCAAGAUGGGUGUCACCGUUGGUGGCAAGCACCUCAAACACACCGUUGUCAAUGGUCAAGAUGCUGACAUCGAAAGUACCACCACCAAGGUCAAAGACAAGGAUGUUCUUCUCGCCACCCUUCUUGUCCAAACCGUAGGCAAUAGCAGCAGCAGUUGGCUCAUUGAUGAUCCUAGCAACAUUGAGGCCGGCAAUGACACCAGCAUCCUUGGUCGCCUGCCUCUGCGCGUCGUUGAAGUACGCUGAAAACAAGGACAGAAAGAUGUAAGCCAUGACAUUGAUACAACAAUCACUACAAGCAACCUGCAGAAUGGUUACUGACCAGGAACAGUGACGACAGCAUCAUUGAUCUUCUUGCCAAGGUACGCCUCAGCGGUGUCCUUCAUCUUGCCAAGAAUCAUGGCACUGAUCUCCUCAGGGCUGAAGACCUUGUUCUCUCCAUCCUUGAUCUUGACCUGAAUGUAGGGCUUGCCCUCCUUGUUAACAAUGUUGUAGGGAACAAGUUUCAUGUCCCUCUGGACUUCCUUGUCCUGAAACCUAGACAAUUGGCAUUACAGUUAGGACACCAGAUAUCCAUAGGAAGAAGAAAUUAGAUAAUGAGAUUGUGGGCUAGAGGUAUUACUUUCUUCCGAUGAGACGCUUGACGUCGAAGAUGGUCCGCUCAGGGUUGACAGCUGCCUGGUUCUUGGCAGCCUCACCGAUGAGCCUCUCACUAUCGGUGAAGGCAACCCAUGAGGGUGUGAUACGGUUACCCUGGUCAUUGGCGAUGAUCUCGACAUGACCGUUCUUGUAGACACCAACACAGGAGUAGGUGGUACCGAGAUCGAUACCGAUCACGGUGCCGAGCUUCUUGGUCUCCUCCUUUGCAACUGAGAAUGCAAACAGGGAUCCUGCAUACAGGACAAGAAUGAUUUAAUCGACAUUGUUCACCCAAUUGCUCUAAAUGUUACCAGCAGCUAAAACUGAAAUGCAAUUGACGCAAUACUGACACCAGUAAAGAGUUGAUUCAGAUACAUUCCAAUCAUUCCACUGAAGCUGAACGAUUCUCUAAAGUUAGUCCAACUCUGAUGAAUUAAGUACAAAUUGUAUGACCUUGAUGUUUAGGAGUUGAAUGAAAUCACCGGGUUUGGUUCAUACCCUUACAACUUUCACACGGUUACGAUCAAGCCAAUCACAGAUCGAGGCACCAAUGUAAUUAAAUGAAAUGAAAUCGCUAGCUACUGUCAGUCAGAGACAGUGCAACUGAGUUUCGGGGGAACAAAUCGCACAGCUACACCCAUUCCUCGCGGAACAGAACAACCUACAGGUAUUAGAUCAAAGCGGAACUAAAAACAAAGGCCUAGAGCCCUAGAUCACAGGAACAGGGUACGGGAUCCUAUUCUACCAAUUCAAACUGAACAGUGAACGCCCAUUCCUAGAACCCCGAGUGACCAACUUUCCUGAUCCAUCAGUGUCACCACCAAGCAUACCUCCUCAAUUCACAACCCAAAUCAAUUCGUAUGUAAACACCCCAGAUCGAGGCAAGAGCACCACUAAAUCUGACCCAAUCUCAGAUCCCACAUGAAUGAACACAAACAGACAAGCAAAAACCCCCCAGACAAAACCGCAGGCGGGAGGCGAGAUCGCGCCGCAUCGUACCUGCGAGCAGGACGCCGAGCAGGAACGCGGAUCCGCGAACCCGAUCCAUGGCCGCACACCACCAACGCGCUCCCUUUCCUCUCCUCUGGAAGCUUCUCUCCUCUUCUGUUGUGAUCCCCGCGUUUCGAACUGCGCCUGACGAGUCUGAUGGAGGAGAGAGGAGGGGGAGAGGCUUAUAAAGUAGGGGUGCCGUGAGCGGGGCUCGGGAUCCCGCUGCGACCGUCGCGUUGGCCGGGACGUCAUGAGUCCGACCUGGACCAGUAGGGGUGCGACGCGUGGACGCCCGAGCCAAUCGCGGUGGACUCUGUGCUGGGGCCGCGGCGGCCGUCCGUGCCGCGCAUCCGACGGCCCGGAUGGCCUCCGACGCGCGGAGUUGUGGGAUUGGUUGGGGUCGCGUGGCACAGGCCCUCUCGCACGGUGGCGGCGUCGGAGUGGGCGGGACACGUGGCGCGUGCUGCUACCAGCCAGCUGACACGUGGGCCCGGGGCUCGUCACAUGCGCCAGUGUCAACAAAAUAUCGAUUAAUCGGUUGAAAAUUUUAAGAUACUUUUAACUUGAUCUGAUCUCGCUUUUACAGGGGAUUCUGAUAGACCAGAUGUUGCUAAAAGGAAAGCAUUUCCACUGCAUGUUCUAGGUUGCCGAACAGACAGACUUUGUAAAGCUUUUGGAUCGCGUGGCAUGAUAUCAUUCGGUGCUCCGAUGUCGUGUUUUUCUUUUUCUCUAAUUUGCCCUUUUUUCUCGUACUACUCCCGCUGUCAUUUUGGACAUGUGCAUCCAAUAUAUCUGUACUUUAGUCGGAUAUUUACUUGAUUAUUUCAAACGAGCUUAAGAAAAACGGUACAUGCCGAUUUUUUUUACAAGUACACCCUCCGUUACAGUUCCAAAAUGUAGAUCGUUUUAGCUUUUCUAAAUACAUAGAUUUUGCUAUUUACCUUACAUUUUGAAACAUAUGGAGUAGUUUUAAAAUAUUGCUUGCUCUAUUCCAAAAUAAUGAGCACCUCUAAUUUAUCCGAAGUGGAUCCAUCUUUAGUUUAACUAUAAGCUUGUACAAAAACUUAACGAUAUUUAAAAUAUGAAAUUACUAUUAUUGGACCCAUUAAUGACAUACAUCCCCCAAAACUAAGCUUUUCUUGGGAAAACUAAGUUUAAUAUAAUUGUGGUGUCCCUCGAGCAUAAAAUGAAAAAGUCGGACGAAGAUCGAACCGAUCAGAAUAAUGGUCAAACGGUCCAACCAAUGGUUCAUUAUUUAUUAAUAUAAUAUUUGUUUCUCAUGAUUUAUACCAGUAAUUUGCAUGUUUUAUUACCAAACCAUACCACAUAUGACAUAAUAAGAUGGGAUAACAUAAAAAAUAAUGCCGAACUAUUUGCUGAUUCACUAAAAAACGGUUCUAGUUCACCGGUUUGACACAAAAGUGGCCGGUUUGACCUGUUCACGCCCAUCCAAUUGCAUGACCGAUCUUUUUAUUUAACUGAACAGAUCUGGUCACACGUUCAUGGUUUUUCCGGUUCAAACGAUGAACCCGUUCGGCUUUUUGUUCUAUGCCCUCAAGCCGUCCGUCCCCCGUUGUUGCUCGUGUCAUCAUGUGCAGUAUUAGUCUAUGAAUUUGAUCUGCGGGAGUACGUGCUGUUCGUAUUAUUUGAUUUGAAGCUGAAGCACCAUGUUUUUUUUUCCCAAUUUGAAAUGGAUCUUUAGCAUGCGGGCUACCAAUCAUUAGGAAAAGCAUCCAUGCAUUUGAGUGAAUUUUCAGAGGGUUGACACGAGAUUAGUGAAUUUGACUAGAAGUGGCCCGGAAGAGGAUAAUAUGCCAGGAUUCAUCAGCAAAAGCAUUCAAUGUAAUGUAGAGUAAUAUAAUAUCUGAAAAGAACAAAACUGAUCAACAAAACUUCAGCUCUAUUCGCUUCAGCUUAUCAACCGGCUUAUCAGCCACCGAACAGUAUUUUUCUUUCACAAUAAAUCAGUCGUUUCAGUUUUUCAACCGGCUUAUAAGUCCAGCCGAACAGGCCGGAGAUCCUUUUAUAGUAGUACACGUGUGAAGGAUCAAAGAAGUAACGUGCACGAUGGCAGAACAGGAAGCCAUUAUAAUUUUUAAUUGCAUCCUUCUCAUGGAGUGGAGCCAAAGGGACCCCAUCAAUCAAGCAGUGAUCCGGACGAGGCUCUCGGUGUAGGGCCUGACGUUGACGUUCCAGAGCUUCUUCCACCUCCGCGCCCUGCUGCGCGCCCUCGUACCUCAUGCAACCCAUCUCGCACAGCACCUUGAGCUCCGAGCUCGGUGCCUCGUAGCUGUAGAGAUCCAGUUGGUUCCAGAGCAACACCUGGCCACCGGGAAGAAGCGCCAUCGGGUGGCAGAGGCGCGGGAAGUGGUAGGAGUAGCGCCGCUCCCACUGGCCGUGCCUCCCAUCGUCGUCGAUCGCCAUCGCCCACACAGUCAUGGUUGCAGGCGUCCCACUGGUAGGGGCCGUCAGGCAGAGCUCCCCGCGCAGCUCGUCGAUCAAGCAGGCGUCACCGAUCCCAGUCCGGCAGCGCGGUGACGCUGAACGACUCGUCCGCCAGGUUAAAGCGGAGGAGGCCACCCCGUGCAGUCUGUUGCUGCUGGUGGCGAGACUUGUCGAUGCGCCAGAACAAAAACCCUUUGAUGGUAUAAGGCCAGUCUGCCAUCUCUUGAUGGGGCACGGCAGAUCAUCCGGCGUCUCCCUCCACGCGCCGCCGCUGACGGUGAACACCUCCAUGCCCAUACGGUAGAUGUUCGCGUCGGCGUCGAUUGACCGGAAGAAUGCCUGAACCACCUUGUACCUGCCGGUGCGCGGGUCCAGGUCCAGACCGGAGCAAUGGCAGGCUGCUUCUUCUUCUCGCAUUGGAUUGUUGCGGCUGUCAGGCAGCGUGAUGGCGUCCCUGGUGGCCGGGUUGAAGAGGUAGAGCUUGGUGUCGUGGGGACGAGCACCAGGCCAUCGCAGUGGGUGAAGUAGCACAGCCGGCUGAAGUCACCACUAAAGUCCUUGGCAUGGAGGAACUUUGCCGCCUGACCAUUGGACGGCUGCCACUGGUAGAAGCGGACGUGGUUGGAGAAGGUGCUUGGCCAGCGCUCCCCCGGGAUGAGGUAGUCCAGGGUGUCGAGGGUGAUGAUCACGCUCGGGUCCUGCUCCCAUCUGGAGGUGCGCGCGGAUGAAGACGGGGUCGGAGAUGGUGGCUCGCCAGGCCUUGCAGACAGACUUGCAACGCACCAGGGACUUGACAGGCAGCCGCGCCAGGAUCUCCUCGGACAAUUCAGGAGUCCGCCGCCUUGGAAUGCUGCCCUUCUUCCGCUUCAUGCCCGUCUUCUGCAGUUUCAUGGCGUUACACAUGGAUGCAGCAAGGGCAAGCGUACAGCAUACAUGGACUUCCUGUAUCUAUGUUCGCGAUACGCUCCAUGUUUCUACUCCGAGCAGGACACGGCUUCAGCAACAGUCUCGGAGCAGAGAAACUUCCUUCUUCCAGAGUUUUUCUCGUUUUUGUUUUUUUUUUUGCGAGGAUUCUUCCAGAGUUCUUCACAACCACUAAAUGGAUUAUUAUAUAUUAUAUAAUAAUAAAAGGACUCAAAAAAGAAAAGAAAAUAUGUCAUUCAAAGGCAAGAAUCUUGCAAGAGACAGCAUUAACUAACAUUCUACCAACAAUAAUGGUCCAGAUCAGACUUUCCAUUAAAAAGUGCCAUCGUCAAAAUACACUGAUAGGGUAAGGACAUUACAUUGACUACCACAAACAACACAGAUAACAAGUUCCCUAUAAAACUCGAGCACCACUCUACUAUAGUACUAUCAAGACUAGAUCAGCUGCAUUACCAUACACACACACACACACACACCAUUCUCAUCUAACUAUACCAACUUACAUAUAGCCUAGAAUAUACACACAUGUACAGAACAGCAUGGCACACCUCCCCAACAUAGGAAAAAGAUGCCACCACUACUGAGCUUGUCCUAAAUCAUCACCGCCCGAUAGCAGCCAGCGCAGAUACUCCUCUCCGUCAUCCAAUGACGACGCCUCUCCAGGAAUGGUCACCCUCUUGCGUGUCAAUGUCUCCACCGUCAAUGCUUUCCUCUUUCGCCCACCUCUCGGACGCGAGCGCAGCUGCUCGUCCAUCUCCUCAAAGUCUCCCUGCACGUGGUAGCUUGUUACUGACAAUUUCACAUGAUUUGAGCACAAAACAUGAGCAAUUAUGCUCCCAACAUACAAUUCACUAGCUGGUAGUUUGGUCAAUUGAGGGCUUAACUCUAAAGACAGGCACAGUGGCAAAGGCCACUUAUAAUCUUUUUUAAAAAAUAACAUAGGUCAGUAGUGGGACUCACUUCAACAUAUACAUGAGCGCUGGAUUUCUCAUGGUUGUCCCUGACAUGCUUGUAGGUGAACGCCUUGCCACACCCAGCAACUCGGCAUAUGAAAAGCUUCAGUUGGUCAUGGCAUGCCUUCAUAUGCUUGGUCAGAUUUGAUUUCUGCAAACAAACACAUAAAUGAAUAUCUCAAUUCAAAAUCUGCAAAAUGGUGAAGUAUUGGGCUGAAAAGAUUGCCAGAUACAUUUUGGGAUCUAUAAAUAUUGCUUACAUUGGAAAAGGAGCGCUCACAACCCUCAAAGGUGCAUUUCAUCCUUGCACCAGUGGGCACCUCAUCAUGGGCUUGUAGGUGCCGCUUGAUGUUCUUCUUCAGGUGCUUUUCCCCACAUAUCUCACACUGAACAUGCUGAUGGCAAGAUUGGUUAUGAGCCUUCAGGCAUUCAACAUUUGUAAACAUCUUCAUGCAGCCUGGUUCACAGCACACUACCUCCACAUAGUCCAAUUUAACUGCAAGAAAAUAUCACAAAGAAAACACUCAAAUUUGGGGAUCCCAAAAAGCUGGGGGAAAAAAACUGCAGACCUCAUGAACUUAACAGCAACUAAGUUUCAGUUCAUUCAAUUUAAUAUCCUAGUUAUAUUUCUGUCAGUACCAACAUACCAUGUGACUCCUCGUGUUUCCUCAACUUUGAGAGAUACUUGAAAGCCUUGUUACAGCCCUCCUCUUUGCAAAUAAACUCCUGGCUGCUCUUAGUGACAUUUUCAUCCUCAUGGAAUUCUUUAACAUGUCGUUGCAUAUUUGCCUUGAUACUGAACCUCCUAUCACAACCAUCCACAGUACAACCAAACAACUUGCCCUGAUGCUUAAGCAUAUGUCUAUUCAAGUGAUCUUUCCUUUUGUAGCUGAAGGGGCAGUCUUCAAGUGGGCAAAUGAAGAGUCUCUACAAUCAAAACAAGAAUAUGGAUUAAGAACAAAAUAUUUCCAUGUUGGUUUGUUUGUAGGUGUGCUAGAUGCUUCGAACAUUUUAACUAAUCGAUUAUCUAAAACAACUCAGAAUUCUAAACACACAGGAUCUGUUAGCAACAUCAUUUCACUGUGGCCGUUAAAAUGGAAUGUACCAUCAUGUUGAGAAUAGCAUCCAGAAGAAACGGUGUGACACAGAAAAUGGAAGAAAAGCUGUUCAAACAAAAUAGGUAAAAAGCAUAUGCUUCUAAACUAUGUAACAUCAUGUGAUGAGAGCAGAAGUAACAUAACAAAGCAAAAAAAAUAAAUGUCAACUUUGUGAAUUGUGACUACUACUAUACCAGGACUAUUGUCACCAUAGCGAGCUGAGAACCAAUGAAGAAUGGUCCUAGCUUUCUGAGACGACAUUUCAAUAUUGGAUCCUCAAGCAUCUGCUUAAGGCUCCCACAAGGAAGCCUGUGAAGACAUGGCAGAAUGGAGGAUAUUUCCACCCUUAUCUCCAAAGAAUCCAUAACCCACCUAAUAUCACAGCACUAGACCAAGUUCAGCACUUCGCAUCAGUACACUAUUUUCCUUGCAUGGUGACAAUGUAAAAGGACUAUCGUCACCAUAGCGAGCUGAAAACCAAUGAAGAAUGGCCCUAGCUUUCUGAGAUGACAUUUCGAUAUCGGAUCCUCAAGCAUCUUCUCAAAGCUCCCAUAAGGAAGCCCAUGAAGAUAUAGCAGACUGAAGGGAGGAUAUUUCCAGCCUUAUCUCCAAAAGAUCCAUACCCAUCUAAUAUUUGCAGCACAAAACUGCUUAAUGUCAAGGAACAAAACUCGACACCAUAACAAGCUAAAGGAGCCCAUUUAGCGACCCAACCUUUCUGAGAUGAUAUCUUGAUGUAGGAUCACCAGAUUGUCAAAGUCCCCCAAAGUUAGAAACCCAAAUAAAUAAAUAGAGAAUAAGGCAACAUAGGAGGAAAUGAACUCCCAAAUUCACUGAACUGAUCCAUAACAAAAUGUGCAACGUAAACUAGCACCGUCAACCAUAAAACAGUCAUGCGAGAAGAGAAGUAAUUCCUUCAUUAGAUAUUAAGGGGUGCAAUGUUUAUCCAAGGAGCAUCAUGGUAAAAAGAAAACGAAAUUUUGUACAAGGACAAACCUACUCAAUGAGCGUGAAGGAGGCAACCUUGUUGAAGCUUCACAGGUGGUCAUCCCAACCUGCUACUAGUUCAGACAAGAUGAAAAAUUGCCUCAUCGCAUUUUGGAGUUCUUUAAAUGGGAUCCAAUGCUUCACGCUGUUAACUAUCUAUACCCUGCAAAACAACUUUAUUUAGUGAAUCAUACGUUAAAAAGUAACGAUGCUACAGUUAGCCUCAUAAAUGCAGAUCGUAUGUUUAAAGCAUGUUCCUUGUAAAAUUUAAAAAUCGGACAUGUUUUAGUCCAUCAAUGCCUACACAAUGAAACAAGUCUGCCCAUACUGGACUCACAGAGGAUGAACAAUUCAACAUUGAAUACCAACCUCAUUAGAGUGACUUUGCAUGUGCUGCUUCAGAUGAGCCGGUUUCUGGAAACAAGCUCCGCACUCUGGGCACCUAUGUUCCUCCUCGCAAAUUAUCUUUUCUCCAUUUGAGUUGUAUGUUUCUGAUUUGUCCAGUUCAUCCUGCAGGUAAAUUUUGGAGAAAACUCUGGAGAUUAUUGCAAUGCUACAAAACAAUGAUAAUACAAAGGUAGGCACUACAAAGUUAAAAUGAUGUCAAUAUAUAUAACUCAAGAGAGCAAACGGAUACUAGAAUACAAACAAGAUAUGGAUAUCAAUAGUCUUUAUUAAGGCUAAAGGCAUGUACUGGCACAUGCAUCUAGUAAAUCACAGAAUGCUUGUACCUUAUGAUGUGCAACCAUGUGAGCUUGAAUCAAGCAUUUCUUUGACCUGACAACAGUGCAAAAUUCACACUUGUAGCGCCUUAUAUCCUUGAAACCCUUCUGCCCGACACUUGCAUCUCCAUCGAUCUCAUCUCCAGAACACAUCUAACAAUAAGAGAAUCACAAUUAAAAAAUAGGUGGCAUGCAUAAUCAUGUGCCGUAAUGUAGGAAGCAGCUGAACGAAACAUUUCCAGAUAAAGAAUACAAUGCAAUAAAAUAAAAUAAGAGGAAUCAAGUUAAUAAAUAAAACUCGUGUAUAUAGCUGUCCUGCUCUUCUUUACACAACUAAUGAAAUACAGCUGUACCAGAUUCAUAAACUAAAGGAGAACAGCAUGCUAUUUAGAAGAAAUUUCUCUGAAAACAUUGUGUUCGCAAUAAAACACCCAAUAACUGAAACAAUUGCAACAUAUUGCCAUCAAUGUACAAGCACUGAAUCUCUACAAUUUUGAUCUAGAGUCACAUGGAGACAAAUUGAUAAGAUACCAAGUACAAUAAGAUUGUCAAACACAAUAUAGGAACAAAAAGGCUAUUUAGUGCGACGACCCAUAUGUCACGCUAGAAAUGGACAGUAUAUGAUUAUAGAAUCUAGACUAUUAUUUCUCCAUCAACAGAGUAUGAUCUAAGAUCCAUCUUAAACUGCCUGGUCAUGCACUCCAAGGUUUCGUAAAUUUCCCUUCGAGCGUGGUGUGUCUUGUCCUCUACCAAGAACUCAUGGACAGCACCAUCAACUUCUAUCCAACUACACCCUGGUUUUUUGAAGACCUUCCUAGACAACAUUUCCUUCCUCAUCUCUCGAGCUUCUCUCCAUUUAUUUGACGAGGCAAACAUGUUCCAAAGAAGGACAUAAACCCCAUCAUCCCCUGGUUCUCUCUUUAAAAUUUCCUUUCCAGCAAUCUCAGCCAACCUGUCAUUGCGAUGAACCAGGCAAGCACUAAGAAGUGACCUCCAUAUAACAAUAUCAGGUUCCACAUUCAUAUCAGCUAUUAGAGCUUCUGCUUCCUCUAGCAGUCCUCCCCGUCCUAACAGAUCAACCAUGCAUCCAUAGUGCUCAAGGUGGGGACCUAUAUUGUAUAUUUCACGCAUUGUACCAAACAACUCUCUACCUUCUUCUAUUAAUCCAGCAUGGCUGCACGCAGACAAAACAGAGACAAAGGUUACAGUGUUUGGAACUACCCCAGACCUAAUCAUGUCCCAAAAAAGUUCAAGAGCUUUCCUCCCAUCCCCCUGGACAGUGAAACAUGAGAUCAUAGUAGUCCAUGUGAAAGCAUCCUUUGAUUUAACUUCUUGGAAUACGGAAAAUGCCAUCUCAAUGCUUCCACUCUUUGCAUACAUAUCCAUGAGAGCAUUGCUAACAAUUAUGUUUGUGCUGGCAUUACAUUUGCUUCCAUAUCCAUGAAUGACACGUCCUAGAUCCAGAGCGCCAAUGUCAGCACAAGCUGAGAGUACACCUACAAUUGUGACAUGAGUAGGACGAUGGCCCUCCAGUACCAUCCUACCAAAAAGCUCUAGAGCCCGUACGGGCAGCCUGCCUUGUACAUGACCAGUGAUCAGUGCUGUCCAAGAGACUACACUCUUCACAGGCAUCUGAUCAAAGAAUGAUAAUGCCAAAUCCAAACCAGCGCACUUGAUGUAACCAUGCAGCAUGCUACCCCAAGUGAUCUCAUCUUUCUGAAACAUUCUAUCGAACACCAUUACCGCGGACUCAAACCUCCCACAUCGACUAUACAUAUCAACCAACGCAUUUCCAACGACCACCUCAGAGUCCAAUCCAAGCCGGAAAAUCAGGCCAUGCACCGCCCUACCAACCUGCUGGUCGCCAACCCCACCAGCAGCCGAGAGGGCACCAACAACAGCAAAGCCAUCGGGGCGGGGACCAUCAGCAACAACACGUGAGAACAAGGAUACAGCCUCACGGUGGUGCUCUAACUGGAUGUGGAGGGACAUGAGGCUAGUAAAGAAGACAAGGUCAGGGCGGGGGAUCUCAUCAAACAACUUGCGGGCGUCAGCUGCUCGGCCAAAGUCAGCAUAACAGCGGAAGAUUUUGCAGGAAACGGACUGGUGAUGUGGGUGGAGACCAUGCGCAACGGCCUGGGCGUGGAUUUUCUGGAGCUCUCUUAGCGUUUUGCACUGGGCGAGAAAGUGGUGGCAAAUGCUUCUAUUCAUCUACCUCCCCGUCUCCUCAAGGCAACAUAAUCUGUCCAGGUCUAUGAUCUUGCUCUCUCGAACGGCGACACCUGGAAUUAUAGCUGAGAUUACUGGGAAAACAACAACAACUACAAAGCGACCUAGUAGGCUAAUAAAGACGAUCUGCAGCUUCUUUCAUCGUUGUUUCACCACCCACAAUCAAUUUCAGUAACAGGGAUUCAAAUUACCAUCGCUAGCAGCCAGAUCAAUGAGACAUACAACAACACAGGCAAACCCGAGACUACUACGACCAACGAGAUCGGCGAGCGAAUCGAGGAAGACGCGGGUGAUGCUCACCUCGGAUUUGGAGUCUGAGCACACCGGCGUUCGCCUCGCUUGCAAUUUGCAGCUUGAGUGAGAAUGGAGUGGAGAGCGACCAGAGCCUGGUGGCGGCGGCGGCGAAUGGGAGAGGGGAGGGAGGCUCUCUUUCAUAACGUGGUUGGUCACCUCGAAAACCCUAGAGGUCAGAUGGGCCUGGGCUGUUGUGGGCCGAAAGCCUACCUUAAUCUCUCUCACGUGCGGCCGUAUGACAACAUCUGGGCCCCCAUUUCUGAUUCCCUCUUGCAAGGAUGAAGCCCACCAGCCCAUCUACCUCGCUUCGGCCUCUCCCUGCCUACCGGCGAUGCUCGGCGUGUCCCCCGUGUCCGUACACCGGCGGCGACAGGCGGCGUGCGCUGAACAGUAAGAAAAUCCCUUCCCAUCUUUCCUGUAAUCUUGUUCACUACUUCCAAUGCGUUGCCGUCUAGAUGGUCUCGAGACGCGGGCAGUAAUCAGUAGGGGAAAUCGCAAAACCUAGAAUUUUUCCUCUUUUCCCCAGUCCUCGCCAACCGAUGUUGCUUCGCAUCGGUCAUCAAAUCCUUGGUCUCGAUCUGAACCACAAUUGGGGAAAAAUUAUUCUGUAUUUACAGUAGCUGGUAACUACAGUUAACCUCGUUACAAAAAUCCAAGAGGAACGGGGCAUUUACAUAUGGUCAGUAACCUCACUACAAAAAUGGAAUAAGGAGGAGAAUUUAGACAAGGAUUGUCUGUCAAUUUGUUUCCUUAUGACCUUCAGGGAGCUUGUUUUGCUAGGAACGCGUCUACCUUCGAGUUCACAUCCGAAGCCAAGAACCUUAUGCACAUUGGUGGAGUGACAUGGUAGAUCCCCAACAAUGAGUAUGGUAUUGCAAAUAUCCCUUCACCACAGAUCAGUCCUGAUGCCACUACUGGUGCAAGAAGCUCUGCACUUUCAGUGUCGACCUUGUUCCACGCUAGAAGUAUUAAACUGCCAACGCACAUGUCUAUGGACAAGGUAGGAUGUAUGAGGAAAGCCACUGACAUUGCGGCGACGCUCGGGAUGUAGUGUUGGAUGCGCCACUUCUUAUGUAUGGCGACCUCCUUGAUAGCACUCGUGGCUAUUGCUAUGAAGAAGACGGGUAUGCUGAGUGCAAGGGAAUGCUUUGGUAGUUUGAUGAAGCCUCCAGCACCGACCAGGGCUAUGAUGCGGUAGACCCUGGCAAAUGGCGCUGGGUAGCUUCCCAUGGAGUCAUUUAGGUAGCAAUAAUAGAACACCCAGAAAAUAAUUGGGUUGAUGAUGCAACCUAUCGCUGUUCCAAUCACCUGAGCUAGGAACAAGGACCUUGGCGAGGUGAGUGUGAGAUAGCCUGUCUUGAGAUCUUGCAUGAAGUUCCCAGCUGUGGCAAUGAUUAUCGUCAUGAUUGCACAAAUCACAAGGCCACCGAUCACCCCACCCUUUGCAGCAGUGAUCCAGAACCCAAAUAUCAGGAUCACAAUCUUUGCGUAUUGAGUGUAGAGGUUUAGGUCUGUGAUACCAGUACCAUAGGCAUUGCAAAAUGCCAAGAGAGGGGCAAACAUGUAAGCAACGAUGAUGUGCUGAUAUUUUAUCUGGCUAUAGAUGUGUGGAAUCGCAAUUGUGGAAACAGUUGCCAGUAUAGUGUAGCCAAUGAUGGCGUACGAGAAGGGAAUAUUAUCUUUGAGAAAUAUAUGUGUCCUGCGGCGAUCAUCAAAGCUAAGGACAGGGUGUCUUAUGGCAUCCACACUCCUGAAGGCAUUGGUUGUUGCUGCUAACUGCUGUUGUUUCUUACGCAAAUUGCUCAUUGAUUUGAAUGGUAUCAUGAGAAGCUGGAAUAGACCAUCCCCAAGCAUCAUUGCUAUGGUUAUCAGCACCUGUUUCACAUGAAUGAGAUUUCCAUAGGUAAACAUUGAAGGCAAAUCCCUAACAGGAAAAAAAACUAGUUGGCUGUCAAAUUGUUAACAAUGCUAUUAUGUUGGUAAAGUAAGUAACAUUGUUACCUUGUACCCAUAGAUGCCCAUCAUACUGUUUUCCUUGUAAAAUGCAUUGUACCAUACUCCUUUCUUGGAUUCAAUGUAAGGCAACAUGAUUGCCGAGGAGAGGAUGGUACCAACGAGCAUUGACAUACUUACUACUGUUGGGCAGAUCAUUCCAACACCAACAUAAGUUGCAGAGAAAUUAAAGUAGAAGCUGCAAGAAUAUAAAACAAUCUCAUGAUUAAUUAAAAUUUUCAUGCAGAUUGUGUGUUACUGGAAGGUAUGCCAUAUGCUUCCCAAAAAAAAAUAUGUGCCUUUAGAAUUGGUUUUCAUUUUUAUUAGCAUUACUACUGAAAUGUCUUUGAAAGGAUCUUCCUUAGUUUCUGUCAAAUAAAAUUGCACAUAUGAUUGCUAGUUUCCUAGUAAGAUACACAUCAGAUUCGAUUUCCCUCCCUCAUAUUUUUAAAUUUUGUUUUACUUAUCCCUUACCCUUUUUGGUAUGCUUUGAGUCCAAACGUUGGGAUGGCAGCAAGUCCACAGUUACGUCCACCUGUGUAGAACCAUUGAAAAAUAUCCCAGCACAGACUUCCUGCUAAGGAUGUAAACAUGGCAGACACUUGCCUUCUGCAACCAGAAAGUGCAGAAAUGUAAGCAAUUUAGUAAUACGAUUACAAGUUCGUUAGCCAAAUUAUAGCAGUUAAUGUCUCACUUUGCUUCCUGGGCUCCUUGGGGGGUGUGGAAGCUGUUGAUGAGGUGUGCUGUAGCUGUGCCACUUGCAUAUGUUAGCCGAUGGCGGAUGAUCAUGGCCUAGGAACAUGCAAAAAAAAUCAAGAAUUUUUUUAGAGAGGAGCCCAGCUGCCAAGUUUGUAACCUUGCCUGCGUUUAUUCAUUAACUGAACUGAUAUUGAUUUGAUUAUUUUGUAUGAGCUAAUAUGGUAGCUGAUAUUGCAGUGGGAGUUAUUAUUACCUUCCUCAUGGGAACAAUGGCAAACAAGCCAACAAAGCUGAUGAGAAAAUAGAAGACUAUCAAUUUUCCUAGAUUCGGUGAACUGACAUUUAUUUCAUCCGGUCCAGCUUUGGUCUCCGUUGCUUCUCUUGGGCUCAUUGCGAGCAUGAACGAUCCAAAACCACCUGAUAACUUGUUAGCAUACAGGUGAGCCAUGGUCGCAUCCAUUUUUUAUUUAAUGAUGAUCGCGUUAAUGAAGAAACUGCUACAAGCUGUCAUCCAGUUUUUCAGAUGCAUCUAUAUACUCACCACUGGACACCAUGCUGGCACAGGCAACCACACAUGUCUGGAUGAUGGUGUUCUCCUGGCGAGUGAAGGGCUGGUGGAACACAUCAAAUCUCCGUAAUAUGUGCGUCCAAAUCUUAAGGAGAAAGAGGCUUAGCAUGGCUGCUGGGAUGUUGAGCGGUGACACCCCCCCAGACAUGAAGACAAGAUUCAUGCCCACAGUACUUAAUAUGGUGCCGAGUAAUAUGCUAGCCACCACUGAUCGCACGGUGAUCUGCUCUGUCCAUGCUUGAACUGGCUCUCCUUCAAAUGCGCGCUCUGUUGAUGGGCCCUCCCUUGGAUCGCCAACUGACUCCAUGCUUCAAUUCCUCCCUUUCCUCUCUCCAACAAAUUGCAUAUGACAACUUGUCAGGCAGAGUUUGAUGGGCUGCGUGAAAUGGUGGAAGAUUGUCUUCAGACAUCAAUUGCUCAAGCCGAUCUUCAGAAUUUUGAUUGGCUAAGAAGGUUUGGAUCUUUAUUUAUAUGAAGAACGAGGUUGCUUAUUGAGGGACAAUUCCAACCGUACAGUGCAGUUGCAGGUAAUUAAAAGGUGGCUAGAAGAGAUAUUUCAAUUUAAUUGUGUCUCACAUGUUCCACUCUAUUUCCCUGCUAUUUUUAGUAGCGACGCAUCCAUUCUUGUCAUUUUCGUUGCAUGGCUAGUCUGUUGGCUUUGGGGUGUGUUGCAGAUUAGUCCCUCAAAGAAGGCCACAACUGUGAGCAAGGCAGGCUAAGGUAAGCUUUAAGGCUGCAAAGGCAAACAGACUAUACUUAGAAGGAACAGCGCUCCAAAAUUAACUACCAGGCUCCCUAUAUAAGCCUUGUGCCCCCCUUCUCUCCCAUUGCAUCCAGCAUUUGAUUCUGUGUGUAUGCCUUGGUUUAUUAAUUUUUAAUUAAUAAACCAAGGCAUGCACACAGAAUCAAACAAACAAUUGGAGCUUAUUGCUCCAUCAAAACGAACUAAUUAUAUUGGUCCUCACCAUGGAGCAUGAAGAUGAUCCCCAAGAAGGAAUCUCAACGGAGCGCGCCUUUGAGGCAGACCCCAUCCCUUCGCUGUCAGAGACCAUCACCCUGCGGUCCUUGGUGGUUAGCUUCAUCCUUGGUGUCGGGCUCAGCGCCAUCGCCAUGAAGAUCAGCCUCAACUCCGGAUUCCUCCCACCGCUCACCAUCCCAGCCGGCCUCAUUGGUUUCUACCUCUCCCGUGCAUGGAUCCGUGUUCUCGAUAGCUUUAAGGUGCCACACCUGCCAUUCACCCGCCAGGAGAACACCGUCAUCCAAACCUGUGUCGUCGCCUGCUCCGCUAUUACAUUCAGUGGUAUAUGUUUAUAAGCACAGCAUGCAAAAUUUUGGUUACUCUUUCAUGUCGCUAUCCUAUUAUAUGGUUGUAACAUGUUUUGCUUUCAUAUUCAGGUGGGUUUGGGACGUACAUCCUCGCAAUGGGCAAGAGUGCAGCUGGAGGGGACACAAAGAAUAUUGUUGAGCCAAACAUUGGCCGGUCCAUCACUUUCCUCUUCCUUGUCAGUUUUUCUGGCCUGUUCAUCCUCAUGCCUCUGAGGAAGGUCAUGAUCAUUAGACACCGGUUGACAUACCCUAGUGGCGUGGCCACAGCACACCUUAUCAAUAGCUUCCAUACCCCUCAAGGCGCCAGCAACGCAAGGCACGUAUCUUCUGCUGAAUGAACUCAAAAAUGAAUAAAUGCAUUUGUCGGAUCGAACAAGUAUGCAUGCUUAUAUAUUCAGUUGUGUGCUUGCACUUACAGGCAGCAAGUGCGCGUGCUGUUCAGAUCGCUGGGGGGAACCAUCUUGUGGGAUGUCUUCCAGUGGUUUUUCUCUGCUGCGAGGGACUGCGGCUUCAGAGCCUUCCCCACUUUCGGCCUUGAGGCAUAUAAGCGCGGGUACGCAACAAGCACCGCCAGCCAUUUCACCUUGAUGUUGUAUGGAACUAACAUUCAAUUUCAUUGGGCAGAUUCUACUUCGAUUUCUGCAUGACCAAUGUCGCCAUCGGCAUGCUAUGCCCAUACAUGAUCACUGCCUCCUUAUUCAUCGGGAGUGCUGUCUCGUGGGGGAUUGUUACGCCAUACCUUGCAACUAAGGCAGGUGUCUGGUACUCUGCUGACCUUAGCCCCGGAAGCCUUCGCGGCAUCAGGGGCUAUAAGAUCUUCAUCGGAGUGUCCAUGAUACUCGCCGAUGGCCUCUUCAACUUCCUAUCCAUCAUGUUCUGCACAUUGUGCGCCAUGUACAACAGGCGCAGCCAGCCAAUGCAAGGUGGUGGCGUUGAUGAUGACGGUGACACGCAGUUGCCGUUCCACAACCUCAACGCCGCUGAGCAGCAGAAGGCGAUGCAGAGCUUCGAUGACCGCCGCAGGGCGCAGGUGUUUGUCCGGGACCAUAUACCCAACUCGGUCAGCAUCCUCUGCUUCAUCCUCCUGGCGGUGGUCUCCACCAUCGCCAUCCCAUACCUCUACCCGCAGAUCAAGCCCCACCAUGUGACGCUCAUCUACCUGGCUGCCCCGGUGUUUGCCUUCUGCGACGCCUAUGGCUUCGGCGUGACCGACAUGAACCUGUCGAGCACCUACGGCAAGCUGGCUAUGCUCGUCGUCGGCUCGGUCGUGGGCCGUGCCAACGGCGGCGUGAUUGCCGGCCUCGUCUCCUGCGGGGUCGUGAUGGGGACCAUGUCCAGCAGCAACAACCUGAUGCAGGAGCUCAAGACGGGGUACCUGACCCUGACCUCGCCGCGCGCCGUGUUCAUCAGCCAGGCGAUCGGCACGGCGCUCGGGUGCGUCGUCAACCCGCUCAUGUUCUGGGCCUUGUACAAGGUGCAGGACGACGAGUCCGAGCUGUUCGACGUGCCCUACGCCCGGGUGUACCGCGGCAUCGCCAUGCUGAGCUCCGGCCAGCGCGGGCUGCCCAUGCACAGCCUGUGGCUCUGCAGGACCUUCUUCGCGCUGGCGCUGGCGCUGAGCGUGCUCCGGGACGUGGCGGCGCGGAGGCGGUGGCGCGUGGCGGAGUACCUGCCGAGCACCAUCUGCGUGGCCAUCGCCUUCGUGGUGCCGGCGCACAUGCCCAUCGACAUGUUCACGGGGAGCCUGGCCAUGUACCUGUGGAGGCGUGCCGACCCACGCAAGGCGCGGGCGUUCUCGGCGGCGGCGGCGUCGGGGCUCAUCUGCGGGGACGGGCUCGGGAUCCUGCUGUCGUCGGUGGUGGCGCUGACGCACGCCAGGGCGCCCAUCUGCAUCAAGUUCGUGUCGAGCAGCGACAACGUGAGAUUGGACGCCUUCCUGGCGACACUGCCAAAGAUAUCAUAGCAGCUUCCUCUUCCUUCUUGGGAUGUUUGUAAUUUUUUCCUAGGGGACACCAUAGCUGUUGUGUUGCAUGCACUUGUAAUCGGGAUUCAGUCUGGUCGAAUUUACAAGUGAAUGCAAUUUCAAUGCACAAUAUACCGUGUCUGAGCACUGUCUGUUCUGUUCGCAGAUAAGACUUCAAUUUGAUUAAUUCCUAGUUGAUAUUAAAUUGAUCUUGAAUUGCAGGUCAAUUUUUUUUUAGCAGUGAACCUUGUCAUGCGUAAUGUUAGUGUUAAUCUGUAAAGCAAAUCGUUCAGCCAAGAAUCGAAUAAUGUUAACUGCAGGUUAAGUUGUUUUAGCAAUUUCCAAGCAGAGAACCUGAACAUAUUGCAAAGCAAAUCGUUCAGCCUAGAGUUGAAUAAUUUGUAAACCUGAAGACCAAUCUCCAUCUUCUACAGUUAACAGCUCAACAAAAUGAAGAAGAAAGUACAGCAUGCUGUCUGCAACCCUACAGGGACUGAGGUAACCAAGACUAGCAAAUAAAAAUUACAAAUAAAAUGCACUAAACUAAAACUACGUACGCAUUCAUUCAAUUCGUUCCUGCAAAUUAAUCGAGGAUUUGGAAUGAAAUGGAAAGCUAUGUGGCUGCUGGGUUUCUGAGCGUCCAGAGGAACUCCUCGACCUGGUAAUUUGUGUCUGCGGAGAAGACCCUGAGGCACAUGGGCGGGUUGAUGUUGAGCAGCGACAGGAUGGACGACGGCAGCGACCAGAUCCCGUCGCCGCAGAUGAGCCCCGACGCCACCGCCGGCGCGAAGGUGUGGGCCCGGACGCGGUCGGACUUGCUCCACAGGUAGAGCACGAUGCUCCCCACGCACAUGUCGAUGGUGAAGAAGGACCCCAGGAAGAAGGGCACCGCCAUGCCCAGCGCGCUCGGGAUGUAGUCCUGCACCCACCACCCUCUCGCCUUGGCCACCUCCUUGAGCGCGCAGAUGGCGACGGCGAGGAGGAAGAAGGCGAGGCAGAAUCGGAGGCAGUACUUGGGCAGCUGGUUCCACCCGUUCACCCCCAGCAGCGCGAUGCCGCGGUAGAUCUUGGCGUACGGCGCCGGGUAUCCUUCCUCGAGGCCGACGUCGUACGCCUUGUAGAAGAUCCAGAACACCACCGGGCUGAUGAUGCAGCCGAGCCCCGUGCCCAUGACCUGGCUCACGAACAUGGACCGCGGCGAGGUCAGGGUCAGGUACCCGGUCUUGAAGUCCUGGAUGAGGUCGGAGGCGGUGGAGACGAUGCCCAUCAUGAGCCCGCACGCGGCGAGGCCGGCCACCACGCCGCCGUCCUGGGACCCGAUGCUGGCGCCGAAUAUGAAGAUGGCCAGCUUGCCGUAGCUGCUGGAGAGGGACCAGUCGGUGAGCCCCGUGCCGUAGGCGUUGCAGAAGGCGAACACCGGCGCCACCACGUACGCCCACACCACGUGUUUGGGCUUGAGCUGCCGGAAGAUGUGCGGGAUGGCCACCACCGAGAUGGCGGCGAGGAGGAUGUACGCGCCGGCGGCGAUCGACGUCGGGAUCUGGUCCUUGAGGAACACCUGCGUCCGGCGGCGGUCGUCGAAGCUGAGCGCCUGGCGCUCGCUGAUGUCGACGCCGGCGAAGGGCUUGGCGGCGGCCUCGGCGGGCUUGGUCCGCUUGAGGUACAUGUCGUAGGACGUCCGGACCAGGAUGGAGAGGAAGUUGAAGAGGCCGUCGCCGAUGAUCAUGGCGAUGGAGAUGAAGAUCUGGUAGCCGUUGAGGCCGUGGAGGCUGCUCCGUGGCAGCUCGGCGUCGUACCAGAGCCCACGCUUGCUCUCGAUGUAGGGCCACAUGAGGCCCCACGACACGACGGACCCGAGCAGCAGCGAGAAGUUGAUGAUGUAGGGGCAGAUCAUCCCCACGCCGACGUACGUCGCCGAGAAGUCGAAGAAGAAGCGCCGCCGGUAGGCCUCCAUGCCGAAGGUGGGGAAGGAGCUGAAGCCGCACCCGGGCCCCGCGGAGUAGAACCACUGGAAGAGCGACCAAAGGAAGCUGCCGGCGAAGGACUUGAAGAGGAUGGACACCUGCUGCUUCGCCUGGAUCGCGCCCUGCGGCGUGUGGAAGCUGUUGAUCAGGUGCGCCGUCGCGGAACCGCUCGGGUACGUGAGCUUGUAGCUGAUGAUCAUGAUCUUGCGCAGCGGCACGAUGGAGAAGAGGCCCACGAAGCUGACGAGGAAGAGGAAGGCGAUGAUCCGCCCCAGCGACGGCUCCUCCACGUUGAUGCUCGUCUUGGCCUCGUCGAAGCCCUCGGCGAUCUUCUUGCUCAUGCCAAGGAUGUACGUGCCGAACCCACCUGCAUCAAUGGUUGCAUAUAUACAUAUGUGUAAAUAUACAUACAUGUAACUGCAUGCUGAUAAAAAACCACCGGCGCCGGCACCGACCGCUGAAGGCGAUGCUGGAGCAGGAGAUGACGCACGUCUGCACGACGGUGUUCUCCUGGCGGGUGAAGGGCUUGGGGAAGAUGCCGCAGCGCUCCAGCGCGCUGGUCCACGUCUUCAUGAGGAAGAAGGCCAGAAGGCCCGCCGACAUGUUGAGCGACGGCACGAUCCCCGACGUCAGGUUCAGCUUCAUGACGAUGAAGCUCAGGAACAGCCCCAGCGCCGUGCUCACCACCACCGAGCGCACCGUGAUCUGCUCAGACCACGCCGGGAGCUUCUCCCGCUCGAACGCCUUCUCCGUCGACAGCGCCUCGCGCGCCGCCGCCUCCGACGACCCCUCCGCCAUCGAUCGCCCACCUAGUCCCUCGUUGCUGGAUCGGCAAUGCAACAGUGUCGUUGCUGGAUGAUUGGAUUGGGUCCGAUUCGAUUCCCCCGGCCGGCCGGACCGGACGAUCGAAGAAACCGGAGGAGCUGAUCGAGGAGGAGAGAAAGCAGUGCAUGCAGAAGGGGGAUUCGACGAUUAGCAGUGGAUCGAGUUAAUUAGUGGCUGAGAGGUCUCUCUAACUUCUUUCCCUAAUGAUAACAAAGAAAUAAAAGGUAAUGGCAUUGGUUAACAUAACAAGGCACUGAGAGCCAGAUGUUGCAAGGAACAGUGCUGAUUUUUUUCCCUUGUAAUUUUAUUUUUACAAUAAACUAAUAAUAUGAAGAGUUUCUUGUGGCCACUUUCCAGGGCGAGUAAGCGGAUGGUCGUCAUGCAAUCUCGUCCACUGCAUGCCUACAGUUCAGUGGUGAAGCUGCUAAUUUUGGCAGGGUCAUGGCUGCGUACGUGCUGCCUUCUUAGCGACGAAAAUUUUAAUAGUAUAAUAAUUAAUCAACCUCUUAAAGUAUCCUAUCAAGAGGGUUUCGUGGUAUUUGGUUAUCACGUCAGUCUAACACACUGAAGGUCUCCGGUUCAAGUCCGGGCGAAGCCAGUUUUUUUCUAUUUUUUUUUCCUAAUACCUUCUGUUUUGUCAGCCAUUAUACUUUUUGAACGAAUGUCUACUGUAUCUACUACAUUUUUCCCUUUCAUCGAACAAUACCUAUUCUUGCCUUGUUACACUUGCAAUUUCUCUGACACGGUUCCAGUGACUCUCCUGCAGAAUUAGCUGCACGCAGCCAUGGAUACCAAGAUUAGAUACCUAAUGUUAUAUGACAUGUUUGUCAAACAAAAUGACAAACCAAAGUAAAAAAAAAUAGAAACACGAAGACAAAAAAAGUAGAGUGGAAUGCAAAAAGGAUACAAGAACAUGGUUGAAGCUCCUUUAUCCUGAAUAAUAUGAAUUGGAAUGAGACCAGCACCAGUUGGCACAAAGUUGUCAGGCAGCCAUAACCAACACCCCGUAGAACAGAAGUUUAGUCACUCAACUUGAGAACCUACAAAACAAACUUCAUUUCCACGCAAAGCCAUUUUUUUUUGAGACACAUGCCUUUUCCCAAAUGCAAGCUUCACGUACUGACAAACGAUCGGUAAAAGCAUUCUCUGUCAGCAAUCCAGCAUGCACUUACAGAUUACGGCAAUAUUGGUCACUCGAAUUUGUAUGCACAUUACAUAUAAGUAUAUAACUAUAAGCACGAGCACAAGCAUAAUGCUAAUUAACUCCAAAAGUUAAAAGAGCACGGUAUGUUGCAUCUGAUGGAAAAUGUCCAACACUCGUAUUCGCGUCAUCUGUGCCGCUGGAGGGUUAACUGCCAUACAUAUUUACCAAACUGGGACAAAUAUAAGACAACACAAAACAAUCAGAUGCACAUGGAUCCUCAUGAGUACACCCUCUUCUGAAUAAGCAACGCCAUCCUCAAAUCAGGCAGUGAUGUCAACAUCUUCGGCACACCACCACAAGACUAAGCAAAACCUUCAAUCAAUCGUCAUCCUUGAACUCCCUGAUCAGCCAGUCAAGAGUGAAAAACCUUUACACAUCUCCUUUAUCAAAGUUUCAUCAUACUGUCUACUUAACUACUUUCAUUUGGAACAUCAUUUAUUAACCAAAACUUUAGCCAUAGAAGAAAGAACAUAAAGGAUCCUUCAAUUUUUAUGGACACAUUUCAAAGGAAAAAGGGAAAUGAACCACAAUUGAAUAUCCAGCAGCUGCUUUUAUUUUCUCUACGAAGUGACAAGUUCCGCACCAUUCACUCAAACAAUAUGGGCUAAUCUGAGAGAUGAAAUUUUUCCACCUCUACUACACGGAGGGCCUCAUCUCAUGCACAAUUUCAUCUUUUUGUGAUGGAGAUGUAUGGUUUCAUAAUUUGGACGUGUGAAACAUGAUUUUAAUUUUGGUAUUUCAAAAAUGGUGCCCACAUUUUUGUUAACACGAACAAUAAGGUCACCAAUUUAUAAAAGGAAACACAGAUGCUUAAUUACAUCAAAAAACCAUUGGAUAAGAGCAUAUUACCUGCGGUCAAGAUAGCGUGGUUGGAUCCCUGAGCCUUGGCACGUGGUGCAUGUCAAAGAGCCGAUGCCAUCGCAGUUGACACACUUUGAUUCUUCAGUCUCGCCUGCGCCAAGUACUACCGUAACAAUGCCCUUCCCAGUGCAAAACCUGCAUACCUCUGGAAAAUCAACGAUUUUCUGUUCAAUAUUCUGGACUGCUGGUGGAUGCUAAUAAAAAUAGUAAUAAAAAAAAAGAGAAUCAGCAUAGCUACAAAAAGGCAGUACUGUUGUAUUGCACAAUCAAUCCAUGCCCAAGGCAUCAUCUAUUCUCAUGCAUCAUGGCUAGUUCACUGAAUCUGAAUGUAAUCCAUGACUAGGUUUUUUUUAACCAAGUAGGCACAUGACCUCAAGUAACCACCACCACAACAUUGUGUUGCAACACUCAGCUGCAUGCAUAAUGCCAAUUACACUAACCAUAUAGUAUGUUUGAAAUGGAAAACAGAAGGGGCAAAGUCGAGGCAUCAAUUGUAAGGUUGGGGCAUAAUCAGGACAUACGCGCGCCAGAGCCGCUGCAGGGGAAGCACGGCUGUGUAUUCUCCCUCUUUGACUGCAUGCAUAGAAGAACAAGGCAUCAAAAACUGACUUUUUCAUUGAAUUAAAUUGAAUAUACAGUCAAGUAAUUAUGCCAAUCGUCUCCUAGCUAAAUUUUGCUUCACUAUUCAUAGUCGUUUGUUGAACAAGAGCUUGUGAAGCAAAGAGUCUAGUUAAUUGAAGAGCGAGAUGGGAAGAGAACUGACGGCAUUGUCGAUUUGGGUCUCGUAGAAGACGGGAACGCCUAUCCCGACGGCGAUGCUGACGACGCCCACCGAUAUGGCCACAAUCUGGAGCCACCAAGAAAGAGAAAUCAAUCAGACCCCGCGAGGGGAGAAGAGAACCAAGGACGCGGUUGCUCCGUGUCUUUACCGUGUUCUGGUCGAGGUCGAUGGCCCGGAUGCGGGCGCACCGCCUCCGCCGGCGGGGCAGCGCCGCCACGCUGCAUGGCGAGGGAGGAGGAGUGGGGGAGAGGAAGGAGGAGUGGAGCGUGGUGAGCGGCGAGGAGGAAGAGGUGGCCAUGGCUGCGCCUGCGCUGGCUGCGGCGCGGCGCUCCGCUUCUGGUUGGUUUUGGGUCCGGAGGACAUCCCGAGCGGAGGGGCCAGGACAGUUUUGCACCGCAUGUUUUUUGCUUUCCUGUGGCUGUGGAUGACGAGGGGCAUGCGUGCUUUGGUGGGCGACGUGGCUUCACGGGGAAUGGCGGAAUGCGCACCGGCUCGCGAGUGGGGGCCCGCGCCUUCGCCGCCGCCGCCGCCGUGUCCUUUCUGAGCAGAGGGCGGCCGGAGGACCGGCGGAAGGGGCGGUGCGCAGUGCUCCCGCUUCCUUCUCUCAACUAACUAAUCAUUGUUCUAGUCAACGACCAUGUCAACAACAUUGGAAUCCAUCAGCCAAACCACGGCCGCCCCGUGCGCCGCGACGCGCGCCGCCCCGACGAUGGCAAUGGCGGGGGGAGGCGGACGAGGCGAGAGAUAUUCAGCGGGAGGGGGGGGGGGGGGUAGGAAUCCGGAGGAGGAAGAGGGUGGAUCCUCACGCGACGGCGAGGCGGCGUGGCGGGUCGCCGGAGCCGCGCCGGGAGGGGAGACCUCCGGCGGCCAUGGCGGAGGGACCAUUCUGCAAAUAUGUAGGGGUGUUUACGUAAAUAAUUGGAUCGCGACUAUUGAUCGGGGUGGAUCGCGACGGGGCUUUUCGCAGAAACGUUGAACGCCGCCAGCGUCCGAGUCUGCCGACCCCGCGCCCAUCUCCGUGUGCUCGGGCCGCCUCCGCCCGACGCCCCGCCUGCCAGGAUCCCCCCGGGGCCGACGGAGCCGCAGCAUGGAGCCAUGGAAACGACGACGCCAUGGCCGAGGAGGCCCUCCAGAGUCCAGAUCCUCCUACCUCCCCUCAGGUGGUGAUUUCAUGGCCAACGGGGCGGGGCGGUCAACGACGGGAGAUGAUCGAGAACGCACGGCCAGCGCGGAGCUCGCUCGCGGCAGCAAAGGCCGUCCACCCUCGGGAUCGCCACGCCGCGGCUCGCCGGAGCGCCGCCGCGUUCCGGCCGUUCACUUUGCGUACGUCCUUGAGCUCUCUCCGGCGUUGCAGCUAGCGUACGGCCGCCAUGGCCUCCGUUCCCUUGGCUCUGCUGAACUCCCUGCCCGCGGCGUUGGCGCCCAGAGCCCCUGGGUCCGUCCACGUCAUUGCCCGCGAUGGAGGCCGUCGUGAGCAAGAAGAACUGCCACCCGCCCAUGGCCAGCUGGGUUCUCAAGCUCCAGUCACCAGCCUGCGACGAGUAGACACAGUGGACGUCACGUCAACUCCAGGGACUUCCUAUAUUUACCAGCCGUUCGUGGCGUACAUCUUUUGACAUGGUUCUUGGAUAGUUGCAGGGAAUCGAAAAAACACGCAUACAGAAAGAGAUGUCUGUUCUUAUCGAGCAGGGUUCAGGGAACAGUAUGAACAUGUCCGUUGCGGCAUACUUUCAGUUCACAAGAACAACCAAAUCGCACGGUGAUAAACCUAGCGAAGAUGCAGCAGCUGAGCAAAGUACCUUCUCCCCAGUCCCCAGUCCCCAGACCAACAAUAUUCGGCAUGUUCGCUUCAGCUUAUUCAGCCGGCUUAUCAGCCACCAAACAGUAUUUUCCUCUCACAACAAAUCAGCCGUUUCAGCUUUUCAGCCGGCUUAUAAGCUGAAGCGAACAGGCCCAAUGCCGAUACAGACAGGGAGUUUCGCGCUGUGCUCUGCUUCAGCUGAGCCCAUGCGGCAAGGGAACAUCGAUCAUGAAGAUUCUUGGUGCAGCAGCUGAUCACCCCUUACAUGCCCAGCUUCUUGUCCUGAUCAGUAUGCUGCAGCUGGUGAACUUGACCGCUAACAUGCUUUCCAUGAAUCAUAGGGGCUGUUUGGUUUUUGCUUAUUUUUAGCACGUGUCACAUCGAAUGUUUAGAUACUAAUUAGGAGUAUUAAACGUAGACUAUUUACAAAAACCUAUUAUAUAGAUGGAGGCGAGACGAAUCUAUUAAGCCUAAUUAAUUCAUCAUUAGCAAACGUAGACUAUUCUAGCAUUUGAUGUGACCAAGGUCAUGUUUAGUUCACUCCAAAAUCCCAACUUUAGCACUAUGCAAAAAGAAGAUUCCCCAUCACAUCAAACUUGCGGUACAUGCAUGGAGUAUUGAAUGUAGACGAAAUCAAAAACUAAUUGCACAGAUUUGUUGUACUUUGCGAGACGAAUCUUUUGAGCUUAAUUAGUCAAUAUUUGGAUAAUAAUUCACAAAUACAAACGAAACGCUACAGUGUUGCUAUAAUAAUUUUAGCACCCGGGCAACUAAACCAGGCCCAACUAAAAAUUAAUUUAUGAAUAGCCUGCUGUCAGAUGAUAUAACAAUCCUCCACGAGGCAGGUCCGACACGAACGGCACAGCUGGCGUAGCUGUGUCCGUGGCGGCAGCCGGCAGCACACACAGAUGAGAUCGCCAUCUCGACCCACCACUGCACAGUCCACCCCCACACCUCGCCACGCCGCCAUCCUCUCUCCGCAAAGAUUCGAUUCCCGUCGCCCCUCCCUCCUCCUCCUCCUCCCCUCAUGGCCGGCGACCUGCGCCACCGCCGCGCGCCGCCGCCGGAGGACGGGGACGAGGGCGCCUCCCCCGCCGAGGAGUCGGCCGCCGCCGUCGAUAACGGCAAGGAGGGGGCGGGAGAGCGGAAUGGGAAGAGGGAGGCGCUCGGGUGGCUCGAGUGGGGCCGCGGCUGGAUGGCCAUCGUGGGGGAGUUCCUCUUCCAGCGCAUCGCCGCCAGCCACCUCGCCAACCCGCUCGAGCUGCCCCCGCUCGACGGCGUCUCCAUCGUCGUCACAGGCGCCACCAGCGGCAUCGGCCUCGAGAUCGCGAGGUCCCCUUCCGUCAUUUUACCUUUUUGUAUCUUCUUCUUAUGUGCUAAAAGUUGCUUAUUUGUUGAUGUAUGUGGAAAACAAGCAGCACUGCAUGGCUUUAAAAUAGCGUUAAUUCACUUAUGUGCCAACCAAAAAUUAAUACAAGUGCACUAGUUUUAGUACACGCAUGUCUCCUCUUUUAUGCACAUGCUAGUCUCUUGGUACACCAAAAAUUAAUACAAGUGCGAGGUAGUUUUCAUGAUGGUACACUCUUGGUACCUCUACAAAGGAUGGUACGACACCUGGCAACAAAUACUUCACAAUCUGACUGCGCUCAACUUGUCUACUCUGCAUCUGGCUAUGUAGUAGCUUAAAAUUCUCUGUUGUGUUGUGUUGAUCUAAAACCUUGUUUUCAUGCAUUCAGUCAAUUAGGAAAAAAACAAUCUUUCAACUGCAAUGUGUCUCCAUUUACUCACCUCCAUUUCAUACUGGAGAACUAGUCUUCUUGCCAGCUUCCAUUUUCCUUUAAUCUGUGGAAGUUUUUACAUGAAAUCGUGCUUGCACGAAACACUGUACUAAUCUGUAAAUCAGCAAGCAGGCUCCAAGUGUGAGAGGCUUGCAUUGCAUCUUGUUCUGAAGGUGAUACUAAUCAGGAUCUUUUUACCUUCAUGAUCGUAACAGACAACUUGCACAGGCUGGGGCACAUGUUGUUAUGGCAGUUAGGAGACCCAAAGUGGCGCAAGAGUUGAUUCAGAAAUGGCAGAAUGAAAAUUCAGAAACAGGAACACCACUAAAUGCUGAGGUAAUUUUGAAAAGGUGCUUGCUAUAGGGUCCUGGUUGAUGGAUGAGGGCUUUUAACAUGCUAAGUAUAUUUUAUACAGUGUGACCUGAUUGUUUUGUUGCCUCCUGGCAUUUCUUUUCCAAUUUGAUGCACUGCCAUUGAUUUGAGCUUCUGAUUUUAUCGUAUCAAGAUGUAUGCCCUUAACCAUUUAUGUUGUCCAAUGGGGUGGGGGGGGGGGGGACUACUUUUGUUGCCUAUAUUUAUGCUCACACUCGACAUCUAUAAUCAAUCACAAAAUAUGCAUACCUUUAUUGGUGUAGACGAAAGGCAUGCUUAUAACUUUGUUUGUCAUAACUAUUGAUUUGGUUUAGCUACAAGGUAUUUGAUGUUUCUUAAAUAUUACUCUUUAAGGUGAUGGAGCUUGACCUGCUUUCCCUUGAUUCGGUUGUAAAAUUUGCUGAUGCUUGGAAUGCUCGUAUGGCACCCCUACAUGUGUUGAUCAACAAUGCUGGAAUCUUCGCUAUAGGAGGUAUGUUUCAUCAUUAACACAAUCCUUUGGAUGUUGACCUUCUAGGAUUCGUUUAUGAUGAUGAGUUGUAUCAGAGAUAACCAGCUCUUUCGCUUUCAUGUAGAACCUCAGCGUUUUUCAAAGGAUGGUCAUGAAGAACACAUGCAAGUAAACCAUCUUGCACCUGCAUUACUGGCGAUGUUGCUUAUACCCUCCCUUCUCCGUGGUUCUCCCAGCAGAAUUGUUAAUGUUAAUUCAAUUGUGAGUUCUUCUGUCACCAAUUCUGCUCUAGUGUGCAGUUUUCUACCAUGAAUGCAAUCGAAUAUUUAUCCAAGCCCAAACAUUUUGAAUUCUGAUGUCAAUUUGAAUUCAACUAACUUGUAAUUCUACAGUUUUUCUUUUGUACACUAACAGCAUCCCACAUGUAUGCCUCCUAUUACAGAUGCACACUGUAGGUUUUGUUGACGCUGAAGAUAUGAACUUGAGAAAGCGGAAAUAUAGAAGUUGGUUGGGAUAUUCAAAUAGCAAGUUAGCGCAGGUAUCAUAUUUUUUUUAUAGAUUGCUAAUAAAAUGCCGUUCCCCUUUUGUUCUCCAACUGUUUUUUCUUCUCUUGAUCCGUUCUAUCAUAACAGUGCUUUAACCUAUACAUGUAUGCAUACUAUUUCAUGUUGGUUAGGUCUGAACUAUUCUUUGUUUCACUCUCAGGUAAAAUUUAGUAGCAUGCUUCAUAAGAGAAUCCCUGCAGAAGCUGGCAUCAAUGUUGUUUGUGCUUCCCCUGGGAUCGUCGACACGAAUGUUGUGAGUUCAACUUCCAAUUCGUUUUUUCUCUAAUCCUCCAAUCGUUUGUGCUGUUUCAUGAGGUGAAUUCUUAUAACAUAUCUGCAUACCCAACAUUCACAUUUGAGAAAUAUAUAAAGGCUUGGAAUUAUCCCUUUUGAUUAAUUGAACACAAUGACAGAUGAAGAAAAACCUUAUUUAAAAGGUGCAUAUAUUACUGGAUAAGUGGUUCACAUGUACAACGUAUCAAACCAUUCUUCUUUUCUUUUGUCUGUUUCUUCGCAAAAUGUUGACACUCAUUGUAUGCGACACAGGCGAGAGAUCUUCCUAAGGUUGUUGUAGCUGCCUAUCAUUUGAUUCCCUACUUCAUAUUUAAUGCUCAAGAAGGUGAAGUUAUUGAACUUCUGCUGCCGCCUUCUGUCAUUUAACAACAUGUACAUCUUCUGAUAUACAUAAAUAUUACGUUUUGUAUGCAAUUCAGGUUCUAGGAGUACACUAUUUGCAGCAUCUGACCCCCAAGUUCCAGAAUACUGUGAGAUGCUUAAGUCUGAAAACUGGCCUGUCUGUGCUUGCAUCUCAUACGAUUGCAAUCCAAUGAAUGCAUCUGAAGAGGCACACAACCUUGAAACGUCGGAGCUGGUUUGGGAGAAGACACUUGAGAUGAUUGGCCUUCCGCCAGAUGCCCUGGAGAAGCUCAUCGCUGGGGAAUCAGUUCAGUGUUGUUAUGGUCAACAGGAGGCAGAAUAGAAUAUCACACAGAGUCAAAUCAUACCGCUUUUAGUUUGCAGUUAGUGGUGGUUUGUUCCUGUUCUUGAUUAGAGCACCUUUGUUGUAUCUUUCUGAUCCUGAAUUUGAAGGGGGAAAACACACUGAGGAAGAGAGAGAAGAAAACUGAGUUUGUUAAAAGUUAUGCAUCUUUGUUCUAGUUUGAGGUAAUGGGGAGGAUUUUUUUUAAUUUGCGCAAAAAGGAUAUUGUAAAGAGUUGUAGAAAUACAUUUCCCCUGUUAUUUGUGAUCACUGAUCAAUGAUAGUGCUAUACUUGAAACAAGAAUUGAAGAGAUACCUAUUCGGAGUUAACAUAGCAAUAUAUAUAUUUUUUUGCGGUGAGCUCACUCCAAGUUCAGAUAUGUUUCCUUGGGGGAACAACUUGAUUUGUAGUAUCGGAGACACAGCCAACUCAUUGAUCAGCUGUAUGUGCAUAGAUGGGGAUCCAGGGAUGAUUUAACUUGUCACAUUUAUUAUUCCGCUGGGCAUGUGCUCACAUGCUAACUCUGACGAGUACUAGCAGGCCAAUACAAAAAUUGCUGAUGCUCAAAGCAGAACCUUGGAAAACCAAGAUCAGCCAGACAGCUUCAGGCUUCAGCAGAUCAUGCUCACAGAUGAUGAGACAGAGACAAGGUCACAAUGGAACAUUUGCAACUAGAGGGUUAAGAUCCAUAUUAAUUACAGACAUCGCCCUUCAAUGGAACAAGUAAGAGUUUAUAACAGCUGCUGGGAAUAACAGUAACAGCAAAAACACGACCGGAGUUGCAAACUUCUUUCCUCUCCAGGGACCUAACGGACACUCUGAUUUGCUGCCAAUGGAUGAAACGGCGCCAUGAGUCAGCAUUAUGCAGUAGCUGCACCUAAGCAUUUGGCGGCCAGAGCUUUGGAUCUUGAGUUGUGUCCACCACGGUAGGAGGCAUCCACUGCCACAUCGCCAUCCCAGGGAAUGCUGCAGGGAUUGGGGCGCCUUUGUUGGUUGGAGCUUGCUGUGGUGGUGCGAAUGGAGCAAAAGCAGCAGGAUGGUAUGCAGCUGGAUGAGGGAGAUGGGGAACAUAUCCUGUAGGAGCUGUACUGAUUGCUUUAACUUGCUGCUCCAGCCUCUCCUUUUCUGCCUUCAGUCUCACUUUCUCUUCUCGGAGCUCAUUCUUCUCCUCCUGGAAAAACAAUAUAGCAUUCCGUAAAUUAAAACCUACAAAUUGGUUCGCUGGUAGGCUCUAUAUAGAUGUAGAGGAGGUUAGACCAGUGAUCACUAAACUUGCAUAUUAAUUAUAGCAUAUCUAGAAACUAAUUCGUGGACUAAGCAAUGGCUGGCUGCAGGAUACACAAAGUGGGCAUGCCUAUGAAUUCAGUGGAACUAAGCUUGCCUGCAUGGACACUCGUGUGUAUAAGCAGAACAAAAAUAUCAUACAUUUUCAACACACAACACAAUUUUAAGAGACAUGAAGAAGUAUGUGGAGAGCAUCAAAGGUUCUGAAAUCCAGAGGAACAUUUGUAAGAAGCAUAAGUUGUAUGAACAAGAUACCUUCAGGUCCUUGAUAUUCUCUCGCAGCUUCUCGUUUGAUUCUUUAAGCUUUUCUGCCUCACCUCUAAGUUGUGCCACCAUACGAGCUGCAUCACUCAAGAUAUUUGCUUUAUCCAACUUAGCUUGCUUACCAGGAUUCAUAACUGAACUUAAUUCCAGAAACCUGCAAGUCAAAUAAUAGAUCAGAACUAAGAUAUAUGCAAGUACGUGCACCCUUUCUUCCUAGAGCAAUGGCCGAGAUGUGUAGUUUCACUUUCACUGUACCUGUCAUUCAGCCUGUCCCUCCUCAUUUUCUCACGACAAGCUUUGGAUUUUGGACCAGAUGAAGAUGGUUCAUCUCUAGCCCUGCACAAAAUCGAAAUGGUUAUGUUAAACAAGUGGAUCAAGAAAAUAAUACAAGUCCGAUGCUAUGUUGGUAGUGCUACUUAUACCACUCAUGAGAAAUUAAACAAACUGUGCUGCAUGGACUUUAAGAUUGAAAAAACUUUGUAGCUUUAUGCUAUAGGGUCACUACUCGAGUAUCUGGUUAGAUUUGCAUGCUUAAUGUUCCAAAGUCGCAUUCUGAACAAUUUAGAAACCCUAAAGUUUCUGGUUACCCAUUUGGAGAUUGAACCCAUGAAAUGGAUGGGCAUGAGGCCCAAAUACAUACACAAAAAAAAGGGAUAGAGACUUCCCACAAUUCAGAUAUGUGCAAGAAAAAUCCUUCAGAGUAAGGAUAAGAAACCAUACCUUUUCCCCAAAUUAGAUUGUUCAAACCCACAAGCAUCUCCACUGACACCAUCAAUCCCAAGUCUGCCACAAUCACAAGGUAAGUACCGGAUACAACAGCAGAGAAUACAUACAGAACAUGUGCAAGUGCAGUGCGGCUGCUCAAGUAUCUGAUAAAAGAUUCUGCUGCUCAUAUUUCAAUUGAAAGAUAGGGGACACACAUCUAGGUUCAUAAUUAUGCAAAUCACUUCCAUAUAUCAUAUAAUGCAUGAUGAACAUCGUAAGAGCCUAUCAAACUAGCACACAAACAUCGAUUGCUUGCUUCAAGGUAGCUAGCAAGACUUGUAAUGAUGACAGCAACAGCACGCAGAUAAGCAGUAAAAUCUACGGACUUGUAACAAGAAUUAACAAGUAAUGUAGAAUAUCACCAUUCACAUGUAGUAUCACAGGAUUUGCUUAGAUGCACCUAUGAACCAACUAGCACCGCAGUUACCUAAGCAUCAAAUGCACAUAUCAAAUUCAAUCUACCCCCAGGCACAAGGACAAGAGAAAUUCCCCAAAUUCGCAUAAACCAAGACCGCAGAUUAGGUUACAGAAUUGCGGAGACUCAAAACUGUUUCCUGCCAUAUCAUAAGCCUCCUUUCUUUUUGAGACUACAUCACCCAAAUCAAUUAGCAUAUAAUUUAACACCGCCCACAAAAUUAAAAAACCAUCCGCAGCGACAACGACCGCGAUAGUAUAAAAUCUACGAACCACACCAUAAACCGACAGCAAUCUAGUACUACACCUACAAGAAAGAAUCGUUCCGG
RNAcentral lists this long non-coding RNA (34962 nucleotides) under Setaria viridis. RNAcentral describes it as "long non-coding RNA (SVIR_LNC000208)". The stretch from base 23660 to 23731 matches the Rfam family "tRNA". Lineage: Eukaryota; Viridiplantae; Streptophyta; Magnoliopsida; Poales; Poaceae. The record is from RNAcentral.